UUCCCGGUGGUCCAGUGGUUAAGACUCUGCGCUUCCAAGGCAGGGGCACAGGUUCAAUCCCUGAUCAGGAAA
Molecule: transfer RNA, 72 nt
Filed under: Bos taurus (domestic cattle)
Lineage: Eukaryota; Metazoa; Chordata; Mammalia; Artiodactyla; Bovidae
Also listed under: 2 other names
Rfam family: tRNA
About the family: Transfer RNA (tRNA) molecules are approximately 80 nucleotides in length. Their secondary structure includes four short double-helical elements and three loops (D, anti-codon, and T loops). Further hydrogen bonds mediate the characteristic L-shaped molecular structure. tRNAs have two regions of fundamental functional importance: the anti-codon, which is responsible for specific mRNA codon recognition, and the 3' end, to which the tRNAs corresponding amino acid is attached (by aminoacyl-tRNA synthetases). tRNAs cope with the degeneracy of the genetic code in two manners: having more than one tRNA (with a specific anti-codon) for a particular amino acid; and 'wobble' base-pairing, i.e. permitting non-standard base-pairing at the 3rd anti-codon position.
Source: Rfam by way of RNAcentral